This 2577-nucleotide long non-coding RNA is filed under the name Homo sapiens (human). RNAcentral describes it as "HSALNT0405938". The record is from RNAcentral. Lineage: Eukaryota; Metazoa; Chordata; Mammalia; Primates; Hominidae.
AGAGAACCACGGACCAGCAGACAGGCGCCAGGUGCCCUGGGCUUGGCUUGGCCCGAGUUCCCGGCUGCCCCACCUACGGAGCACCGAGAUGGGCUGACCAGGAGGGUUUGUCCGACCACUGUCUGCUCAGGUUCUGAGAGUCUGUGCGGGUCCAUUUGAGGUUGGGUCGAGAAAAGAGCCCAGGCGGACACGUCCUGAGACCCGGGUCUGUGAGGCCUGGCCGCGGGCUGUCCGGCGCUGGGCCCCUCUGGCCAGUUGGCCCCAAGACGCCAAGCCCGGGGCUUCGCGGUCCUGGGAGAAGGGACUUCUAGCCCUUCUCAGGUGUCUGUGUCCGGAGGGCCCGGUGAGCCAGGAAGGAGCUGGCCAGAGCCCAGGCGGCGGGACCCAGCAGAGUGGCCCAGCCACUGCCAACCACGCAGUCCCUUUAACCACGAAAACUUUCUCCCUCGAUUGGGGACCCCAGCAGACGCACAUUGGCUGCGCCGUGGGCAUCCGGACCCACCCUCUCUCCUUACCUACUGGCUGUCAUAUACAUCUAUCACAAGCCAAGGCUUCCUAAUGGCCCAAGUUCUUGUCAAUCAAGAGUGGGAGGAAAGCUGGGCGGAGCCAGGUCGGAGAGCUACACGCCAGCCUCCUUGCCCUCCCUGCCUCCGUGACUAGGCACCCGGAGGCUUCCCAGGGGACCGAAGCUGGGUGCGGAGCACCGGGGCGGAGCUGUGGGGGGCUCCAGGGACUCACCGAUGCGCUGUCCCACUGGAGAGCUGAACGGGUUCCCCAGGAGAAAGUCCAUUGCUGCUACCGCCGCUGCCACCAACCCCGGGAAUCAGCUGACAGCAACCGCCAGCGCCACCGACCCGUCACGUGACGCACUCGGAGGCCGGCGAGGAGGCGUGGGCGGGGCGGUGGCACCGCGAAGCUCGACCACAAGCCCCGCCCUGAGACGCCAGGGUCCCGCCCCCGAGGCGGAGGGCGAUGACCUCACUGCGGCUUGCUCGGCGGCGGCGGGCGUCACACACGAUGUAGGGUCUGGGGUCGGGGCCCGGGAAGCGCGGUCCUCUUUAAGCCACGCCCCUGACCUUUUAGGGCGAGGUCUAAAGGACCCUUUACACAUUUGGGAAACUGGGUCGUAGACCAGGGAAGUGACUUGGGUGAGUUACACAGAAGCCGAGACUCUUAGGGUCAUAGCCCUUAGUCCUUGGGACCUCACUGUGACUGCACACCUACCCUGGGUGACAGCCUCUCUGGGCUGUUGUCUCCUUGUCCCGGUAAGACUCUUCCUGUUUGAUGUCAAGGUCUCCCCGCUCCAAGAUGCACCCUGCUCGCAGCCCAAAUUAUCUUACCUUAAAUCAGAGGCAAGGGCAAGGGGUUUGUCAUCUGUUGAGACUGAGAGGCAAUUUAAUGAAUUGCAGCGCAAUUCCCUCUAGCGCCCAGGAUGGCAAAAAGCACAGAUGUAGUCACGAGUGGGGCUUUAAUACCCGUCUCUGCCAUAAAUUUACUGUGUGAGCCAAACAUAGCUCCCAUUUUCUCUAGAUACUGGAAUUAGAUCAAGGACUCGUAACCAUUUUUAAAAAAUAUUUUAUUUAGGUCACAGUCUCCUUUGAGAAUUUGACAAAAGCCAUGAGCCUUUCUGAAGAAAAAAGGCAGCGAUACAAUUUUGCUUAUAACCUCAGGGAGUUUCUGGGGUCCCUGAAGUACAACCGUGGACCCCAAGCUAAGAAUCUCAAAGGCCUUUCCCAGCGUUGUGAUUCUAAUCUCUUCAGCCUUCCUGGCUGUGUGUGGUGUGUCUGCUGACACCUACACACUAGAUACCUAUCUAUGGGUUAUGACCUUUUCUUCUGGCAUGUACUCCAAAAAUACAAUAACCAUGGCCUUAGUAGUCUGGCUACUGUGGGUGCUUAAGUACUUAUUGUGAUGUUUGUGGUUUUUAAAUCUGAAAGGCUAGUAAAUUGACUGCACAAAUUUUGGAUGACAGAAAACCUAAAUUAAGCAAGGUGUGGUGGCUCACGCCUGUAAUCCCAACAUUUUGGGAGGCUGAGGCAGGUGGAUCACCUGAGGUCAGGCAUUCAAAACAAGCCUAGCCAACAUGGUAAAAUGCCGUCUCUACUAAAAAUACAAAAAUUAGCCAGGUGUGGUGGUACACGCCUGUAGUCCCAGCUACUUGGGAGGCUGAGGCAUGAGAAUUGCUUGGACCCAGGGGGGCAGAGAUUGCAGUGAGCUGAGAUCGUGCCACUGCACUCCAGCCUGGGUGACAGAGUAAGGCUGUGUCUUAAAAAAAAAAACAAACCUAAAUUAGAACUUAAUCACCUCUGUAGAUUCACUUGUUUGAGCAGCCAUGGGGUCCGAUGUCUUUACUGUACAAUAUAAAAACUGCUUUGAAGUGUUUCCACAACACUCAUGAGACCUGUUCACAAAUGCCUUUGCCCCCACGAGUCUGGAUGUCCCUGGGGGCUGGGCUACUAUUUCUGUUUUGCUCCCCACUAUUGUCUAACCCAGUAACUAGCACAUGAAAGCUUAAAUAGAUCUACGUUUCAGUAAUGGUAUUUGGAGUAUAAGCGGGGAGAAGGCCAUUUAAGAUGA